UACAGAGGUCUCAAGCGUUGUUCGGAUUCAUUGGGCGUAAAGGGUGUGUAGGUGGCGCCGUAAGUCGGGUGUGAAAUUUCGGAGCUUAACUCCGAAACUGCAUUCGAUACUGCGGUGCUUGAGGACUGGAGAGGAGACUGGAAUUCAUGGUGUAGCAGUGAAAUGCGUAGAGAUCAUGAGGAAGACCAGUGGCGAAGGCGGGUCCCUGGACAGUUCCUGACACUGAGGCACGAAGGCCAGGGGAGCAAACGGG
RNAcentral lists this ribosomal RNA (253 nucleotides) under uncultured bacterium. RNAcentral describes it as "partial 16S ribosomal RNA". It matches the Rfam family "Bacterial small subunit ribosomal RNA", at positions 524 to 776 of the family's 1533-position model. The record is from RNAcentral.